This 341-nucleotide ribosomal RNA is filed under the name uncultured bacterium. Its description in RNAcentral is "bacterial SSU rRNA". It matches the Rfam family "Bacterial small subunit ribosomal RNA", at positions 28 to 317 of the family's 1533-position model. The record is from RNAcentral.
GAUGAACGCUGGCGGCGUGCCUAAUACAUGCAAGUCGAACGCAUUGUGGUUGAAAUGAUAUGAAGAACUUGUUCAGAUUUGAUUUUCAACAUUGCAAUGAGUGGCGAACGGGUGAGUAACACGUGGGAAACCUACCUCUUAGCAGGGGAUAACAUUUGGAAACAAAUGCUAAUACCGUAUAAUAAUUAAAACCGCAUGGUUUUAGUUUAAAAGAUGGUCUUGCUAUCACUAAGAGAUGGUCCCGCGGUGUAUCAAGAACGAGUGUGAGAGUGGAAAGUUCACACUGUGACGGUAGCUUACCAGAAAGGGACGGCUAACUACGUGCCAGCAGCCGCGGUAAU